RNAcentral lists this ribosomal RNA (253 nucleotides) under uncultured bacterium. Its description in RNAcentral is "partial 16S ribosomal RNA". It matches the Rfam family "Bacterial small subunit ribosomal RNA", at positions 524 to 776 of the family's 1533-position model. The record is from RNAcentral.
GACAGGGGGCUCGAGCGUUAAUCGGAAUCACUGGGCUUAAAGGGCGCGUAGGCGGCUUUGCAAGUGACGGGUGAAAGCCCUCGGCUUAACCGAGGAACUGCCUGUCAGACUGUAAGGCUUGAGACCGGGAGAGGUGAGUGGAAUUCCCAGUGUAGCGGUGAAAUGCGUAGAUAUUGGGAGGAACACCAGUGGCGAAGGCGGCUCACUGGACCGGAACUGACGCUGAGGCGCGAAAGCGUGGGGAGCAAACAGG